AGGGAAUCUUCCACAAUGGACGCAAGUCUGAUGGAGCAACGCCGCGUGAGUGAAGAAGGUUUUCGGACCGUAAAGCUCUGUUGUUGGUGAAGAAGGAUAGAGGUAGUAACUGGCCUUUAUUUGACGGUAAUCAACCAGAAAGUCACGGCUAACUACGUGCCAGCAGCCGCGGUAAUACGUAGGUGGCAAGCGUUGUCCGGAUUUAUUGGGCGUAAAGCGAGCGCAGGCGGAAGAAUAAGUCUGAUGUGAAAGCCCUCGGCUUAACCGAGGAAUUGCAUCGGAAACUGUUUUCUUGAGUGCAGAAGAGGAGAGUAGAACUCCAUGUGUAGCGGUGGAAUGCGUAGAUAUAUGGAAGAAUACCAGUGGCGAAGGCGGCUCUCUGGUCUGCAACUGACGCUGAGGCUCGAAAGCAUGGGUAGCGAACAGGAUUAGAUACCCUGGUAGUCCAUGCCGUAAACGAUGAGUGCUAAGUGUUGGGAGGCUUCCGCCUCUCAGUGCUGCAGCUAACGCAUUAAGCACUCCGCCUGGGGGAGUACGACCGCAAGGUUGAAACUCAAA
This 558-nucleotide ribosomal RNA is filed under the name uncultured bacterium. Its description in RNAcentral is "partial 16S ribosomal RNA". It matches the Rfam family "Bacterial small subunit ribosomal RNA", at positions 356 to 905 of the family's 1533-position model. The record is from RNAcentral.